AAAAAAAAUUAACAAGGAUUACUGACAUGAUUUAUUUAUAAAUGGCUUUUUAAAAUAUAUGUAAUAUGAAUAAAGACAAAAACAUUUUUUUAAUGGCAUAACAUUAAUAGAGAAUUCCGAAUAUCAGAUAAAAAUCCAAAAACAAAACCAGCGAACCCUUUUCUGUAAAUACGACCACUUUUUAAACAGACAUAUGUUAACGCUACCAAACGCCACA
This 217-nucleotide long non-coding RNA is filed under the name Mytilus galloprovincialis (Mediterranean mussel). Lineage: Eukaryota; Metazoa; Mollusca; Bivalvia; Mytilida; Mytilidae. The record is from RNAcentral.